This 601-nucleotide ribosomal RNA is filed under the name Stevenia atramentaria. RNAcentral's name for it is "eukaryotic LSU rRNA". It matches the Rfam family "Eukaryotic large subunit ribosomal RNA", at positions 390 to 820 of the family's 3401-position model. The record is from RNAcentral. Lineage: Eukaryota; Metazoa; Arthropoda; Insecta; Diptera; Rhinophoridae.
UCAGAGUACGUGAAACUGCUUAGAGGUUAAGCCCGAUGAACCUGAAUAUCCAUUAUAGAAAAUUCAUCAUUAUGAUUUUAAUAUUUAUAAUAUUAUAAUAAUGGUGUGCAUUUUUUCUAUAAAAGGACAUUGUAAUCUAUUAACAUAAAUUAUAUUUAUCAUAAGAUCAUUUCGCGUAAGUUUAUUCAAAUUAUUUUGCUUGCAAUUUAAUAUCGAAUAAAUGCAUUUGAUUUGAUAAAGUGUUGAUAGAUUUAUUAUAUAUAGUGCUUAAAUAUAUACACAUAUAUUUUAUAAUAGCAUAUAAAUCAUUGAUUUUUAUGUUUAUUUAUAUGCACUUAUAUGAUUAACAAUGCGAAAGAUUCAGGAUACCUUCGGGACCCGUCUUGAAACACGGACCAAGGAGUCUAACAUAUUUGCAAGUUAUUGGGUAUAAAAACCUAAUAGCGAAAUUAACAUAACUUAUAAUGGGAUUAGUUUUUAGCCUAUUUUUAUAGUCUAUUAAUUCAAUCCCGGGGCGUUCUAUACAGUUAUGUAUAAUAAUAUUUAUAUUAUUUAUACCUCUAACUAGAGCGUACCUUGAGCAUAUAUGCUGUGACCCGAA